GACGAACGCUGGCGGCGUGCUUAACACAUGCAAGUCGAACGAAGAGCGAUGGAAGCUUGCUUCUAUCAAUCUUAGUGGCGAACGGGUGAGUAACGCGUAAUCAACCUGCCCUUCAGAGGGGGACAACAGUUGGAAACGACUGCUAAUACCGCAUACGAUCUAACCUCGGCAUCGAGGAAAGAUGAAAGGUGGCCUCUAUUUAUAAGCUAUCACUGAAGGAGGGGAUUGCGUCUGAUUAGCUAGUUGGAGGGGUAACGGCCCACCAAGGCGAUGAUCAGUAGCCGGUCUGAGAGGAUGAACGGCCACAUUGGGACUGAGACACGGCCCAGACUCCUACGGGAGGCAGCAGUGGGGAAUCUUCCGCAAUGGACGAAAGUCUGACGGAGCAACGCCGCGUGAGUGAUGACGGCCUUCGGGUUGUAAAGCUCUGUUAAUCGGGACGAAAGGCCUUCUUGCGAA
RNAcentral lists this ribosomal RNA (459 nucleotides) under Veillonella parvula. RNAcentral describes it as "bacterial SSU rRNA". It matches the Rfam family "Bacterial small subunit ribosomal RNA", at positions 28 to 464 of the family's 1533-position model. Lineage: Bacteria; Bacillati; Bacillota; Negativicutes; Veillonellales; Veillonellaceae. The record is from RNAcentral.